GGCUCAGCCUGAACGCUGGCGGCGUGGCUAAGACAUGCAAGUCGCACGGGUGUAGCAAUACAUCAGUGGCGAACGGGUGAGUAAUGUAUCGCUAACGUGCCCCGAGGUCUGGGAUAGCCGGGGGAAACUCCGGGUAAUACCAGAUGAGACCACGGAAAGGCAUCUUUCUGUGCUCAAAGGCGCAAGACGCCUCGGGAGCGGGCGAUAUCGUAUCAGCUAGUUGGUGAGGUAACGGCUCACCAAGGCGACGACGCGUAGCCGGACUGAGAGGUUGACCGGCCACAUUGGGACUGAGACACUGCCCAGACUCCUACGGGGGGCUGCAGUAACGAAUAUUGGGCAAUGGGCGCAAGCCUGACCCAGCGACGCCGCGUGGAGGACGAAGUCCUUCGGGAUGUAAACUCCUGUCAGGGGAAAGAAAGUUCUGAUCUACCCCAGAGGAAGAGGCGGCUAACUCUGUGCCAGCAGCCGCGGUAAGACAGAGGCCUCAAGCGUUAGGCGGAAUCACUGGGCUUAAAGCGUGCGUAGGCGGAUGCCUAAGUGCCUUGUGAAAUUUCACGGCUCAACCGUGGAAUUGCUGGGCAUACUGGGUGUCUUGAGCCACCUAGGGGCAGCCGGAACUAACGGUGGAGCGGUGAAAUGCGUAGAUAUCGUUAGGAACGCCAAUGGUGAAAACAGGCUGCUGGGGGUGUGCUGACGCUGAGACACGAAAGCCAGGGGAGCAAACGGGAUUAGAUACCCCGGUAGUCCUGGCCGUAAACGAUGUCCACUAGAUCGCAGCGUCUCUGACGGCGUUGCGGUCGAAGCCAAAGUGCUAAGUGGACCGCCUG
RNAcentral lists this ribosomal RNA (830 nucleotides) under uncultured bacterium. RNAcentral's name for it is "bacterial SSU rRNA". It matches the Rfam family "Bacterial small subunit ribosomal RNA", at positions 21 to 875 of the family's 1533-position model. The record is from RNAcentral.